ACGAACGCUGGCGGCGUGCUUAACACAUGCAAGUCGAACGGAAAGGCCCUGCUUUUGUGGGGUGCUCGAGUGGCGAACGGGUGAGUAACACGUGAGUAACCUGCCCUUGACUUUGGGAUAACUUCAGGAAACUGGGGCUAAUACCGGAUAGGAGCUCCUGCUGCCUGGUGGGGGUUGGAAAGUUUCGGCGGUUGGGGAUGGACUCGCGGCUUAUCAGCUUGUUGGUGGGGUAGUGGCUUACCAAGGCUUUGACGGGUAGCCGGCCUGAGAGGGUGACCGGCCUCAUUAGGACUGAGAUACGGCCCAGACUCCUACGGGAGGCAGCAGUGGGGAAUAUUGCACAAUGGGCGGGAGCCUGAUGCAGCAACGCCGCGUGCGGGAUGACGGCCUUCGGGUUGUAAACCGCUUUCGCCUGUGACGAAGCGUGAGUGACGGUAAUGGGUAAAGAAGCACCGGCUAACUACGUG
This 467-nucleotide ribosomal RNA is filed under the name uncultured bacterium. RNAcentral describes it as "partial 16S ribosomal RNA". It matches the Rfam family "Bacterial small subunit ribosomal RNA", at positions 29 to 507 of the family's 1533-position model. The record is from RNAcentral.